This 207-nucleotide ribosomal RNA is filed under the name uncultured bacterium. RNAcentral's name for it is "partial 16S ribosomal RNA". It matches the Rfam family "Bacterial small subunit ribosomal RNA", at positions 568 to 774 of the family's 1533-position model. The record is from RNAcentral.
CACGUAGGCGGACAUUUAAGUCAGGGGUGAAAUCCCGGGGCUCAACCCCGGAACUGCCUUUGAUACUGGGUGUCUCGAGUCCGGAAGAGGUGAGUGAAAUUCCGAGUGUAGAGGUGAAAUUCGUAGAUAUUCGGAGGAACACCAGUGGCGAAGGCGGCUCACUGGUCCGGUACUGACGCUGAGGUGCGAAAGCGUGGGGAGCAAACA